CUUCGGCCCUGUCUGUGCUUUUGCCGCUUGCCCCCAGCCUGCUUGCUUGCUAUGUCCCAGAGGUAGAUUCUCUUUAUGUUGUCACUCAGCAGCCUAGAUGCUAACCACCAUAGCAGCACCGGGAGCCACACUGGUGUCUGCCGUGCUGCCUCUGCCUCUUGGGUGUGGCUUAAGCUGGGAGCUGCUGGAGCAAACACUUGGCUUUGUUUGUUGUGCUGUGAAAGCUUAUCUUACAAAAAGCUUUGUAGUUAGUGCUCAGCCCACCUCUGCUGCAACUCACCCUCCUGAGCAGGUGAUCUGUCCUGCUGCGCCUCACAGUGCUGCCUCUCUGGGGCUGGAGUGUGUCAGUCCCGUGCAGUGAGUGUGAAGUGUAAAGUGUGGUGACUCUCUUUCAGCGUACUGGACCGGAACAGUAAGCAUUUUGUUCGUGUGUUGAGAGGGAUGACACAAGCUUUGGUUCUCUUUGUUUUUUUGUUCAUGUAUGAUUACAAAUUUAUCUUUAGUUUUUUUUAACACUUCAGAGUGCAACCCUACUUACUAGUGUUACCAUUUUAUGUUUUGAAUUUUGUUUAUUUUAUAAAGAUCAAGCUUCAUAAAUAUUCUUAGUUAUUUUGCAGACCAGUUUGUCUAGUGUAGCGUGACACUGCCUCACUUUUCAACACUUGCUCAGUCUCUUGGGAAAUGUAUGAAGUGUAGAGUUUGAUAAUCUAAGGCAAGCUAAGUGUGUGGGACGCCUCUGCUGUGACGGCUAGUGUGUGGUGGUCAUUCCCUUGACAAGAGUGGAGGAGCUGCCUUGUAUGACUGUGGUGGACAUUUGUGUUUCCAUAGUUACUACAAAAUGUUUUGUUUUCAGAGAAUAAGUGAUGUAUCUGUAUAAAGUAGAUUAUGCUGUUAAAGUGAACUAUUUAUAGCAUAUUAAUUUCAUCAUUCACGUUACUCUCAAGAACUGGGAUUAAGAUUGCUUCCCUUUGCCGGCCUUUCCUCCUGUGCUCCGGGGUAAUGGUCUCUUAGUCUUACCCACCACAGGCUCAAGGGCCGAGGACACGGAGAUGAGCGCCAACACAGUACAGCUUUGUGUAUGCUCCCACCUUUACCUUUACCUUGUAGGCAGCAGCACAGUCACCUCACCAGCACAGAAACAGUCUCUCUCCAUGUCUGCUUGUGUACAUGUGUUAGGUUUACCAGUGUGGUGUUGUCAGACAUCCCGUAUUAUGAGACAUCCCAUCCUGAAUACAUACAUGAAUUUUGACAUGGUACUGUGUCUUUUGUCGACUGCUUGUCAUGAUCUGCCCCACCCAAGUUUAUUUAUGUUAUUAUAAAAGCAGAUGAUGAUGUAUGUAUGUAUAUAACAACGAUAUCAACAAUCACUUCUUCUUGUGACCUGUUCUGCUUUGCAUCACUUUCUAGGUCCUCCUUGGUAAAUUUUUACACUUAAAUGUUUCACUUAGUUACUCUGUGAUAGUAAAGAUUGGGUCCCGCGAUGCAAAGUUCAGGAUGGGAUGUCUCAUUACAAAGGACGGCAGACGACACCACACCGGGAACUUUUUGUUUUUGCACUCAAGUCUUAAAGUUGCUGUGGGUCAUCAAGUGACUCACGAUAUACCUCUUGCCUUUUUGAGAGACGCCUGAGCUCUUAUAAAUUUUAAAAGAGAGGUUUCAAAAUGUAUGCAGAAUUUUUAUAGUAACUUGAUUUUAAGUAGUUGCAUAAAAGUGCUGAUCUGCUUCUUAAAGUCUUCUUCAGUUGUUGCAAGGGUAUUGUAGAAAGGUAGAUGGAGACUAGGGUAUUGUAGCAAGGUAGAUAGAGACUAGGAUAUUGUAGCAAGGUAGAUAGAGACUAGGAUAUUGUAGCAAGGUAGAUAGAGACUAGGAUAUUGUAGCAAGGUAGAUAGAGACUAGGGUAUUGUAGCAAGGUAGAUAGAGACUAGGAUAUUGUAGCAAGGUAGAUAGAGACUAGGGUAUUGUAGCAAGGUAGAUGGAGACUAGGGUAUUGUAGCAAGGUAGAUAGAGACUAGGAUAUUGUAGCAAGGUAGACGGGCAAAAUAAGUUAGUAGACCAUCUUUUUAUUAUGCAUCAGGUUGAAGGUAAAUCAUUAUAUAAGUGGGCAGGAGUUGUAAUUACUAAAAUAUGGGAAAUUUGAGAGAUAACAUUACUUUGCUAAAUAAUAGAAGAAAACACUUUUUUAAAAAUAUGCAAAACAAGGGAUAUGUAAUUCGCUCUUGAUUAUAACUCUGCAAGCAAGCAUCAGCCUUGUCUCAAAACACUGCCACCUUGUAUUAAAGUGCUUAGAAUUAUUGGUUUGCAUACUGGGAGGAAGGAAGGCAUCUGGAACUUGGAUAAUUUUUUUUUUUUUUUAUGUUUUUAUUUUAUUUUUAACCCGGUAGCAGCGACGGGCCAAAUUUGUGGCUUUACCGUGUACCAGCGACAGGCCAAAUUUUUGCCAUGAUAUAAACCCCCCAAAAUAGAUGAUGCAUAAAAUGAUCCCAAAUGCGUUGAUAUAUAUUAUGAAAUGGUUUGUGUGAGGGGUGAUUUUUUCUCAUUUUUUUUGCUUAGAGGGGCCUUUAAGAAACAUGAUCCCCACAGCUACCGGGUCAAGGCAUCUACUUGAUCAAAUUUGUUGGCAUUUACUUAAACUGAGAGUAGUGUGACUUAAGUUCCAAGUUCACGCAUUGUUUUAAGUUACUAUGGGUGAGAGUGUUAUGUUUUGAGUAGGCGCAAAGUGUGUGUGGUGUGCGUGGAGUAGUGUGUGUGUCCGAGGAGUGUGUUGUGGGGGGCUGUGAGGUGCAACUUUGUCCUGUGGUGCUGUAACCUUCCGCUGGAAAGCUCGACUCAUCACCUAACAGUCGCUGUCCUCCACCUGCAAAGGAACACUUAUCUCACUCUCCGCUGCAGCUGUCCUUGGUUACUUUGUGUUCACUUGUUUGAUACCACCCAGCACCUGCAUGACACACACACACACACACACACACACACACGGGGGCCUAGUGGUGCAGUGGUUAGCACACUCGGCUCACAACUGAGAGAGCCCAGGUUCGAUUCCCGGGCGGAGUGGAAAAAUUUGGGCAGCUUUUCCGGUACCCUAUGCCCCUGUCCACCCAGCAGUGAAUGGGUACCAGGUAUUGAUCGGGGGUUGUGUCCCGUCUCCUGGGAUCUGUUCCCUUCUCCUAGAAUUCCUUCCCCUUCUGUCUCUCUCCGGCAUAUGGCCACAGAUGUUGCGCCGACUAAGCAAAACUUUCCAACUUUCCACACACACAUACCCACAUACACACACAAACCAACAGACAUAUAAACUAGCAUGUAAUUUAUAUUUAUCCAGUUUCCAAUGUCUUGCUUUUCAAAAUCUGAUGAUGCAAAAGUAGAUAAUGCAGUUAGCGAGAAGCACAGAUAGUUGUCAAUUUUUGUUAGCAUGAAUUAUAUAUUAUACUGAAGGAGGGACUUUCAUGGUGUGUGAAGAUGGGAAACUGAAAUGAACAAAGAGAUUAACCUUCAGUGUGUUGGGGAAAAGUUUCAGACUCCAAAAUAUAGCAAAAGAGAAAGACGGGAUACAGGUACACAGUAUGAGGGAAUAGACGACCUUGCCCUUACCCCUUUAUCUGCAAUAGUCUGCAUACCAACACUAGUUUUUAUUUUUACCCCUGUUUGAUGCUCCUCUAACACACUUUUCCUGUAGCUAACUGCCUCAUGUUUCUAUUGUUUUGUCUUGAUGGUCUAACAUGAACAUAAGCAAACUGAUUGACAUUUGCAAGGUAUACUGUGGACUCUUAACCCGGUAGCAGCGACGGGCCAAAUUUGUGGCUUCACCGUGUAGCAGCGACAGGCCAAAUUUGUGCCAUGAUAUUUACCCCCCAAAAUAGAUGAUACAUAAUCUGAUCACAAAUGCUUUGAUAUAUAUUAUGAAAUGGUUUGUGUGAGGGGUGAUUUUUUCUCAUUUUUCUCGCUUGGAGGGACCAUUAAGAAACAUGAUCCCUGCUGCUACCGGGCUAAGUAUGCUAUUCUGGGCUGUAGAUUAAGAUGAAUGGAUUAACUCACUAAUUUGUAACAAUCACCAGUAUUGUAGAUUUAAUUCCAUACUGUUAUUUUAAACUAUAAGUGAUAUCAACCAAAUAAGGCCAGGAAAUUCAUUGAGAAGUGAUAUUAAUGUUGAAAUACUUGAAACACAGUGAGUAAAGAUCCUUCAGAAUUAACACAUUGCAUGGAGGUCUCACUUGAACCUCAGGAACACGACCGCUCAAGACAGCAGUAGAGGAGGUUUGCCAAUGCGUACACACCAUUCCAAUUAGUACUCAUGUCUGUCGGGUAAGAAAACUGCGGAAAACUGAGCUGGUGUAUAAAAAUUAACAUUGUGAAAACGAAGAAUCUCUAUCACGUUAACCUUAUAAUUUUGACCAUUUAUUGUCGCAUUGGUCUAUUCCGUCACUGGUUAAUUUUGAUAAUGGUACAGUGUGACAGUUUUGUUUCAUAUCUCGGCUCAGUUCUCCGGAAUAACAUUUUUUCCUGAUGUGAAACUAAAUUGGAAGAGUACGAGAGAGCCGUCAAACCUCUCCUACUGGUAGUGUUAUUCCGAGUGUUUACGAGGGUUGUG
This is a long non-coding RNA of Eriocheir sinensis (Chinese mitten crab), 4579 nucleotides long. RefSeq lists it as uncharacterized. The transcript has 3 exons. Lineage: Eukaryota; Metazoa; Arthropoda; Malacostraca; Decapoda; Varunidae. The record is from RefSeq and is a predicted model, not a curated record.